AUACGGAGGGUGCGAGCGUUAAUCGGAAUUACUGGGCGUAAAGCGCGCGUAGGCGGUUUGGUCAGUCGGAUGUGAAAGCCCCAGGCUCAACCUGGGAAUGGCAUUCGAUACUGCCUGACUAGAGUAUGGUAGAGGGAAGUGGAAUUUCCGGUGUAGCGGUGAAAUGCGUAGAUAUCGGAAGGAACACCAGUGGCGAAGGCGACUUCCUGGGCCAAUACUGACGCUGAGGUGCGAAAGCGUGGGGAGCAAACAGGAUUAGAUACCCCGGUAGUCC
Molecule: ribosomal RNA, 274 nt
Filed under: uncultured bacterium
Lineage: Bacteria
Description: partial 16S ribosomal RNA
Rfam family: Bacterial small subunit ribosomal RNA
Source: RNAcentral